This 492-nucleotide ribosomal RNA is filed under the name uncultured bacterium. RNAcentral's name for it is "partial 16S ribosomal RNA". It matches the Rfam family "Bacterial small subunit ribosomal RNA", at positions 29 to 507 of the family's 1533-position model. The record is from RNAcentral.
AGUGAACGCUGGCGGUAGGCCUAACACAUGCAAGUCGAACGGCAGCACAGUAAGAGCUUGCUCUUACGGGUGGCGAGUGGCGGACGGGUGAGGAAUACAUCGGAAUCUACUUUUUCGUGGGGGAUAACGUAGGGAAACUUACGCUAAUACCGCAUACGACCUACGGGUGAAAGCAGGGGAUCUUCGGACCUUGCGCGAUUGAAUGAGCCGAUGUCGGAUUAGCUAGUUGGCGGGGUAAAGGCCCACCAAGGCGACGAUCCGUAGCUGGUCUGAGAGGAUGAUCAGCCACACUGGAACUGAGACACGGUCCAGACUCCUACGGGAGGCAGCAGUGGGGAAUAUUGGACAGUGGGCGCAAGCCUGAUCCAGCCAUACCGCGUGGGUGAAGAAGGCCUUCGGGUUGUAAAGCCCUUCUGUUGGGAAAGAAAAGCAGCAGGUUAAUACCCCGCUGUUCUGACGGUACCCAAAGAAUAAGCACCGGCUAACUUCGUG